CUACUACUCCCUCCGUCCAAAAAUACUUGUCAUUGAAAUGGAUGUAUCUAGAUGUAUUUUAGUUCUAGACACAUCCAUUUUGAUGACAAGUAAUUCCGGAUGGAGGGAGUAUUAU
Molecule: non-coding RNA, 115 nt
Organism: Triticum aestivum (bread wheat)
Lineage: Eukaryota; Viridiplantae; Streptophyta; Magnoliopsida; Poales; Poaceae
Source: Rfam